CACGUAGGGCGCAAGCGUUGUCCGGAAUUAUUGGGCGUAAAGAGCUCGUAGGCGGCUCACUAAGUCGGAUGUGAAAACUCCAGGCUCAACCUGGAGACGCCAUUCGAUACUGGUGUGGCUUGAGUUCGGUAGGGGAGCACGGAAUUCCUGGUGUAGCGGUGAAAUGCGCAGAUAUCAGGAGGAACACCGGUGGCGAAGGCGGUGCUCUGGGCCGAAACUGACGCUGAGGAGCGAAAGCGUGGGUAGCAAACAGG
This 254-nucleotide ribosomal RNA is filed under the name uncultured bacterium. RNAcentral describes it as "partial 16S ribosomal RNA". It matches the Rfam family "Bacterial small subunit ribosomal RNA", at positions 524 to 776 of the family's 1533-position model. The record is from RNAcentral.